AGUUUCGGGGGUCGUCCGAGCCUGCCGAGAGCAUCCAGGCUGGACUUGAACUCCUUCCUGGGCUGAAGUGAUCCUCCUGCCUCAGCGUCCUGAAUAGGUAGGACUACAACUGUGAGUCACUUUACUCAACCAGAAAUGGUGAAUGAUAAAAAAUGUUUAUAGAUCAUUGCUUCUAAAAAGACUAUAUCAGACACACUGUGGUACCCAAAACCAAAUGCUAGCUACUUUUUAACUCAAAAAUAAUUAGUCAGCUAAUGAUCUAUAUUUUGCUUUACAGUUUAACUUGACGAGUAGAAAAAUGUCAAGGUAUAAGACAAUGCAAAAUGUAGGGACAAAGAAGAAAACUUCCCCUUUCACCCUCUGAAGGUUUGCUGAAAAUGAACUGAAAAAGGCAGAGCAACAGGAGAAAAGGCAUGCGUUUAUUUUAACGUGCAUACCAUGGGGAACUGCAGAAGAGUAAUGGCCUAAUAACCCAGCAGGGUCCCGAUGCCGGUCUACCCUCUCUUCUUAGGGAAGGCGGGGAUGAGGUGUGUAGGAGUAAAUGACAAAAGCUCCUCUGAGCUCUGGGGGAGGUGUUGGGAAGGUGAGG
RNAcentral lists this long non-coding RNA (589 nucleotides) under Pan troglodytes (chimpanzee). RNAcentral's name for it is "lincRNA". The record is from RNAcentral. Lineage: Eukaryota; Metazoa; Chordata; Mammalia; Primates; Hominidae.